AAAAACUCCCUUGUAGGGUCCAAAUUUAGGAAGAAACAUAGAGAGAAACCAGAUCUGAAGGGUGGCCAGUCCUCUUCUUACUGUGUCAGGUGAAGAUUAUAUGAGUACAUAACCUUUUUGGCCAAAUCAAUGUUUUUGUAUGAUCAGAAGAAAUUCAGGUGAAUAAAUGCAAGUGGGCUUUGACCAGACACCUAAAACAGAAUCAAGGUAUACCGCAUAACCAGGUGGACAGGACUGUCAGGUGGUGUUUGGACUGGGACUGGACUAGGACAGUCAGGUGGUGUUUGGACUGGGACUGGACUAGGACACUCAGGUGGGGUGUGGACUGGGACAAGUGUGGGACAGUCAGGUUGGGUGUGGACUGGGACAAUCAGGUGGGGUGUGGACUGGGACAGAACUGGGACAAUCAGGUGGGGUGUGGACUGGGACUGGACUGGCACAGUCAGGUGGGGUGUGGACUGGGACAAGUGUGGGACAGUCAGGUCGGGUGUGGACUGGGACAAUCAGGUGGGGUGUGGACUGGGACAAGUGUGGGACAGUCAGGUCGGGUGUGGACUGGGACAAUCAGGUGGGGUGUGGACUGGGACAAGUGUGGGACAGUCAGGUCGGGUGUGGACUGGGACAAUCAGGUGGGGUGUGGACUGGGACAGAACUGGGACAAUCAGGUGGGGUGUGGACUGGGACUGGACUGGCACAGUCAGGUGGGGUGUGGACUGGGACAGGACUUGGACAGUCUGGUGGGGUGCGGAUUGGGACAAGACUGGGACAGUCAGGUAGGGUGUGGGCAGCAACACAACCAGGAAAACCUCAGGCAGGGACAGCUGUGAGUAAUUUGGGCCCAGUAGACAUUUUCAGUCAUGUAGGCUUAUACCCAUGGAUAUUUCAAAAAGUUAAAAAACAAUUUUUUACUGAAAUAUAUAAGAACAAUUACCUAAAGGUAAAAUCCAAAACAUGAUAAUUCUUGGUUUAGGUAGCUCAUAAAAAUAUGUGGAAUCAGCCAGCUUGGACAUUAUUAGCUAGAUUAGCAAUGUGUCAUUUGAAUUACAAUAUUAAUCAGUUGCACUCUUUCAACGGUUUUCAAGUUCCUUUCAAAAUGAUUGGAACAGUAAGAUUUUUUUUAAUAAAGGUACAUUUAUUUAAAUACAUUUAUUGUUGCAAUCGUAAGAAAAUCCAUUCGUAAAUGGUAUGAUCGUAAAAACGUUAUAUGUUAAACAUGAAACGUAAUCGUUAAAUUAGAUCUGUGAACGUACAAACACCCAAUGAUGGACUAAUAAUUCUUGUUUGUGCGGAUCUGGUUUUACAAAUCUGAAGUACAUCAAGAGUGUUUUGCCAGUCAUUUAAACUAAUAGAAAAUGUAUUAUUGUGUAUUUUACUUAAAACCUAAACGCAUUAUAGUCUACUGGUGUAUUGUCAAUAUGCAGUCUUAAAAACCAACUACGCACUUUUAUUUUGAACAUUAAAUCAUGAAUCGCAACCGAACACAACGGUAUGGUAGAGCACUGGGCUAGAGGUCUAACUUAUUGUAUCUAGCUCCACAGCUUCGAAGAUCUACGUUCGGGUCAUCUUUGCAGAUGCCACAUUACUGUAAAAAAGUUUGUGCAUAAAAACGGGGGGAAAAGUGGACACGGAAACUAAGAAUUUAAUGUCGAAAAAGUCGCAAAAGGGUGUUUGUGCGUUCACAGAUCAAAUUUCACUCUUACCUUUCAUGUUUGACGUAUUACUUUUUUUUUUUUACAAUCAGUUUAUGUAUGGAUUUCUUAGAAUCAUAAUAAUGCGUACGUUUAAGCCUUUGGCAGAUAUCUAACUCCAUAUGUUUUCCUUAUUUUGUCUUAGUACUCCGACUAUGAAUCUAUGGUCUAACUCAUCCAAACCAGUGUACAUAACCAUAUCUAUUAAUCCAUUUUGCUAAUGAACUGAUGUGUCAGAACAGUCAGCAGAGAUGAUUAAAUCCAUUACAUGAGGACUUCACAACAGGAUGUUAAAGAUGCUGAUAGAAAGAUAUGGGUUUUUAUUCAACUUUAUGACCUAAAGCUUCUAUUUCUUUGAAUCCUAAUAAUUUCCCUUGCUGACAUAAGUACACAGAAUAUGUAGUUCUGUUUCCAUGACUUUAAAACAAACAUAAAUACUAAACAACUAGUUCAACCAUUACUAAUACAACUACUAAUACCACCACCACAACACAAUAUGUAGUACUGUUUCCAUGACUUUAAAUCAAAUAAACAUAUAAACACUAAACAACAUGUUCUACCAUUACUAAUACCACCACCACAGCCCAAUAUGUAGUACUCUUUCCAUGACUUGCAUAUGUAUUUAGAUUUCUGAAAUUUUAUAAUAAAAUAUUACAUUUCUGAAAUAACCAAACAUUUAUGAAAAAAGCAUUUGUUGUUACUUAUGCCAUUACUGGCUUUGCACAGCUAUAUUUGGGUCGUUUCUACCAUUCUUUCUGGCAGAGCAUCUGUGAACAGCAGUCUUCCCCAGAUAUCCAAUCAGGUUUAGUCUGUUCAUGCAUCAGUUUCAAAUAUCACUUAAUGUAUUCUGGAUAAUUAUUGACUAAACAUAAAAAAUGGUGUCCUAUCCUGUGUAUCGCAGCGCAGAAUGUACUGGCACGUUUCACUUGUUUCAAUAAAAUGUAGCUAACUGUCAGACAAUAAGUUGUGUGUUAAUCAUAUAUUUACUAAAUUAUUCUGAAGCACUCAAAAGUUUGACAAAUUAUGAAUUCCGAUUCUUGCGUAUUGAAUAAUUAAGAGGACAAAUACGAUCAGUGAAAAAUUGGUUUUGGAAGACUACGUUGAGUUUUUUUUUAGCUAAUUCCUAUAUGCGCAGCCAUGCCUAUUUAAAUUGCACUGGAAUCUGAGAUUAGUAAGGUAUAUCUGACCAUCUAGAUUUGCAAAUCUGUCCGGAAGACGAGUAAAUGCAAAUGAACCCCAAGUAACAGAGUUGCUCAUCUCGUUACCUUUAUCUUUGGUUGAUAAACAAACAUGGCAGCCUACACAAACAUUAGCUUGCUUCAGGUAACUAGUUUUUAGUUUUUACACAAUGAUUUUGACAGUUUGUCAGCUCUUGCAGGAUAUUGUAAGUUGUUUUAGUCGCUAAUAACAUACAUUUUUGUGUCAAACAUAUGUUUUUUUCACAUUAUGUUCAUUUUGACAAAAUAUGACCGCUGGUUGUUGUCAGUAAACCUUAAUGUAAACCUUCAAAUAAAAGUGUGGUCUGACCAAUUAUUGUUGCGACACUCGUACAUUGGUGUGAUCAUAUGCUUCAGGGACCACUCUAGCCUGAUCACAACAGUGUGAUCAUACGCUUCAGGGACCACUCUAGCCUGAUCACAACGGUCACAGGUCAUUGUCUAACCGAAAGAUUAAUCUUCGCUCCAGUAUGAAGUUCUGUGCUCUCUACAUCAGGAUCAUUUUGUUUUGCUCCAUUCAUCAUUCCCUCAAUCCUGACCAGUCAGUUUCUGCCACUGGAAAGCAACCACAUAGCAUGAUGCUUCCACCACCAUGCUACACCUUAUGCAUGGUAUUAGCCAGGUGAUCUGUAGUAGGCCUACCUUGUUUUUGCCAGGCAUAGCAUUUAGUCCUAAGAGUUAUAGAGAUGUUUCUAGACAUUUUUAAAUAAAUUGGCACAAAUUUCAAAAAAUGUAAUGUGUAGAUUAAGAAAAAUAAUCAAAUCUAUAUACGCACGCAUUCACUCACUACAAAAGCUUGGGGUCAUUUAGAAAUGUUCUUGUUUUCAAAAGAAAGGCAAAUUCAUUGUCCAUUAAAAUAAAUUGUCCAGAAAAAGUGUAAACAUUGUUAAUGUUGUAAAUGACUAUAUAUACAGAUCAUGUAGAAAUGGG
Esox lucius (northern pike) is the source of this 3835-nucleotide long non-coding RNA. Lineage: Eukaryota; Metazoa; Chordata; Actinopteri; Esociformes; Esocidae. The record is from Ensembl.